RNAcentral lists this ribosomal RNA (253 nucleotides) under uncultured bacterium. Its description in RNAcentral is "partial 16S ribosomal RNA". It matches the Rfam family "Bacterial small subunit ribosomal RNA", at positions 524 to 776 of the family's 1533-position model. The record is from RNAcentral.
UACGGGGGGGGCAAGCGUUGGUCGGAAUUACUGGGCGUAAAGGGCUCGUAGGUGGCCAACUAAGUCAGACGUGAAAUCCCUCGGCUUAACCGGGGAACUGCGUCUGAUACUGGAUGGCUUGAGUUUGGGAGAGGGAUGCGGAAUUCCAGGUGUAGCGGUGAAAUGCGUAGAUAUCUGGAGGAACACCGGUGGCGAAGGCGGCAUCCUGGACCAACACUGACACUGAGGAGCGAAAGCCAGGGGAGCAAACGGG